RNAcentral lists this ribosomal RNA (726 nucleotides) under Pseudomonas cedrina subsp. fulgida. RNAcentral's name for it is "bacterial SSU rRNA". It matches the Rfam family "Bacterial small subunit ribosomal RNA", at positions 17 to 738 of the family's 1533-position model. The record is from RNAcentral. Lineage: Bacteria; Pseudomonadati; Pseudomonadota; Gammaproteobacteria; Pseudomonadales; Pseudomonadaceae.
UCCUGGCUCAGAUUGAACGCUGGCGGCAGGCCUAACACAUGCAAGUCGAGCGGUAGAGAGAAGCUUGCUUCUCUUGAGAGCGGCGGACGGGUGAGUAAUGCCUAGGAAUCUGCCUGGUAGUGGGGGAUAACGUUCGGAAACGGACGCUAAUACCGCAUACGUCCUACGGGAGAAAGCAGGGGACCUUCGGGCCUUGCGCUAUCAGAUGAGCCUAGGUCGGAUUAGCUAGUUGGUGAGGUAAUGGCUCACCAAGGCGACGAUCCGUAACUGGUCUGAGAGGAUGAUCAGUCACACUGGAACUGAGACACGGUCCAGACUCCUACGGGAGGCAGCAGUGGGGAAUAUUGGACAAUGGGCGAAAGCCUGAUCCAGCCAUGCCGCGUGUGUGAAGAAGGUCUUCGGAUUGUAAAGCACUUUAAGUUGGGAGGAAGGGUUGUAGAUUAAUACUCUGCAAUUUUGACGUUACCGACAGAAUAAGCACCGGCUAACUCUGUGCCAGCAGCCGCGGUAAUACAGAGGGUGCAAGCGUUAAUCGGAAUUACUGGGCGUAAAGCGCGCGUAGGUGGUUUGUUAAGUUGGAUGUGAAAUCCCCGGGCUCAACCUGGGAACUGCAUUCAAAACUGACUGACUAGAGUGUGGUAGAGGGUGGUGGAAUUUCCUGUGUAGCGGUGAAAUGCGUAGAUAUAGGAAGGAACACCAGUGGCGAAGGCGACCACCNGGACCAAC